Molecule: ribosomal RNA, 1345 nt
Filed under: uncultured bacterium
Lineage: Bacteria
Description: bacterial SSU rRNA
Rfam family: Bacterial small subunit ribosomal RNA
Source: RNAcentral
GACGAACGCUGGCGGCGUGCUUAACACAUGCAAGUCGAACGGAAAGGCCCUGCUUUUGUGGGGUGCUCGAGUGGCGAACGGGUGAGUAACACGUGAGUAACCUGCCCUUGACUUUGGGAUAACUUCAGGAAACUGGGGCUAAUACCGGAUAGGAGCUCCUGCUGCAUGGUGGGGGUUGGAAAGUUUCGGCGGUUGGGGAUGGACUCGCGGCUUAUCAGCUUGUUGGUGGGGUAGUGGCUUACCAAGGCUUUGACGGGUAGCCGGCCUGAGAGGGUGACCGGCCACAUUGGGACUGAGAUACGGCCCAGACUCCUACGGGAGGCAGCAGUGGGGAAUAUUGCACAAUGGGCGGAAGCCUGAUGCAGCAACGCCGCGUGCGGGAUGACGGCCUUCGGGUUGUAAACCGCUUUCGCCUGUGACGAAGCGUGAGUGACGGUAAUGGGUAAAGAAGCACCGGCUAACUACGUGCCAGCAGCCGCGGUGAUACGUAGGGUGCGAGCGUUGUCCGGAUUUAUUGGGCGUAAAGGGCUCGUAGGUGGUUGAUCGCGUCGGAAGUGUAAUCUUGGGGCUUAACCCUGAGCGUGCUUUCGAUACGGGUUGACUUGAGGAAGGUAGGGGAGAAUGGAAUUCCUGGUGGAGCGGUGGAAUGCGCAGAUAUCAGGAGGAACACCAGUGGCGAAGGCGGUUCUCUGGGCCUUCCCUGACGCUGAGGAGCGAAAGCGUGGGGAGCGAACAGGCUUAGAUACCCUGGUAGUCCACGCUGUAAACGGUGGGUACUAGGUGUGGGGUCCAUUCCACGGGUUCCGUGCCGUAGCUAACGCUUUAAGUACCCCGCCUGGGGAGUACGGCCGCAAGGCUAAAACUCAAAGGAAUUGACGGGGCCCCGCACAAGCGGCGGAGCAUGCGGAUUAAUUCGAUGCAACGCGUAGAACCUUACCUGGGUUUGACAUGGAUCGGGAGUGCUCAGAGAUGGGUGUGCCUCUUUUGGGGUCGGUUCACAGGUGGUGCAUGCCUGUCGUCAGCUCGUGUCGUGAGAUGUUGGGUUAAGUCCCGCAACGAGCGCAACCCUUGUUCACUGUUGCCAGCACGUUAUGGUGGGGACUCAGUGGAGACCGCCGGGGUCAACUCGGAGGAAGGUGGGGAUGACGUCAAGUCCUCAUACCCCUUAUGUCCAGGGCUUCACGCAUGCUACAAUGGCUGGUACAGAGAGUGGCGAGCCUGUGAGGGUGAGCGAAUCUCGGAAAGCCGGUCUCAGUUCGGAUUGGGGUCUGCAACUCGACCUCAUGAAGUCGGAGUCGCUAGUAAUCGCAGAUCAGCAACGCUGCGGUGAAUACGUUCCCGGGGC